UAGUGUAAGAGGCUAGUUGGUCAUUUGGGUAGUGAAGGCCUUUGUAGGUAGAGGUUGUGAGCUUGAAUGGAUCGAGCUAGGGUGAGGCCCCAUUAGGCUGAGAAGUUUAGUGGACUCCCAUUGGGUCCGGAUUAGGUCCAGUGAAUCCUAUUGGGUUCAGAUUACAUAGGCCUUUAUUGGAUCAGUUGAUCAAUGGACCCCUAUUAGGUCCAGAUUUCGUUAGUGGGCCACCAUUAGGUCC
Molecule: long non-coding RNA, 241 nt
Filed under: Carica papaya (papaya)
Lineage: Eukaryota; Viridiplantae; Streptophyta; Magnoliopsida; Brassicales; Caricaceae
Description: long non-coding RNA (CPAP_LNC004296)
Source: RNAcentral